Molecule: signal recognition particle RNA, 100 nt
Filed under: Buchnera aphidicola (Pentalonia nigronervosa)
Lineage: Bacteria; Pseudomonadati; Pseudomonadota; Gammaproteobacteria; Enterobacterales; Erwiniaceae
Description: signal recognition particle sRNA small type
Rfam family: Bacterial small signal recognition particle RNA
About the family: The signal recognition particle (SRP) is a universally conserved ribonucleoprotein involved in the co-translational targeting of proteins to membranes. Archaeal SRP consists of a 7S RNA and homologues of the eukaryotic SRP19 and SRP54 proteins. In most bacteria, the SRP consists of a 4.5S RNA and the Ffh protein (a homologue of the eukaryotic SRP54 protein).
Source: RNAcentral
UGCUAGUCUCUAACACUGUUUUAAAUUGAACAUCUAGUCAGGUCUGGAAGGAAGCAGCUAAAUCAAUAUAAAAACAGGUGUUUUAAAGUAGCUAGCAGAA